UGGGGAAUUUUGGACAAUGGGCGAAAGCCUGAUCCAGCAAUGCCGCGUGUGUGAAGAAGGCCUUCGGGUUGUAAAGCACUUUUGUCCGGAAAGAAAUCCUUGGCUCUAAUACAGUCGGGGGAUGACGGUACCGGAAGAAUAAGCACCGGCUAACUACGUGCCAGCAGCCGCGGUAAUACGUAGGGUGCAAGCGUUAAUCGGAAUUACUGGGCGUAAAGCGUGCGCAGGCGGUUUGCUAAGACCGAUGUGAAAUCCCCGGGCUCAACCUGGGAACUGCAUUGGUGACUGGCAGGCUAGAGUAUGGCAGAGGGGGGUAGAAUUCCACGUGUAGCAGUGAAAUGCGUAGAGAUGUGGAGGAAUACCGAUGGCGAAGGCAGCCCCCUGGGCAAUACUGACGCUCAUGCACGAAAGCGUGGGGAGCAAACAGGAUUAGAUACCCUGGUAGUCACGCCCUAAACGAUGUCAACUAGUUGUUGGGGAUUCAUUUCCUUAGUAACGUAGCUAACGCGUGAAGUUGACCGCCUGGGGAGUACGGUCGCAAGAUUAAAACUCAAAUGAAUUGACGGGGUCAUAGCUGUUUCCU
Molecule: ribosomal RNA, 583 nt
Filed under: uncultured bacterium
Lineage: Bacteria
Description: partial 16S ribosomal RNA
Rfam family: Bacterial small subunit ribosomal RNA
Source: RNAcentral